RNAcentral lists this ribosomal RNA (470 nucleotides) under uncultured bacterium. RNAcentral's name for it is "bacterial SSU rRNA". It matches the Rfam family "Bacterial small subunit ribosomal RNA", at positions 28 to 514 of the family's 1533-position model. The record is from RNAcentral.
GACGAACGCUGGCGGCGCGCUUUAUACAUGCAAGUCGAACGUGACGCUCGGAGCUUGCUCCGGGUGGAAAGUGGCGAACGGGUGAGUAUCACGUGAGAAACCUGCCCCGAAGACCGGGAUAACACCGGGAAACCGGUGCUAAUACCGGAUGCCCUCACCGGAUCGCAUGGUCUGGUGAGGAAAUGGAUUCCGCUUCGGGAUGGUCUCGCGGCCUAUCAGCUUGUUGGUGGGGUAAUGGCCCACCAAGGCUUCGACGGGCAGCUGGUCUGAGAGGAUGACCAGCCACACUGGGACUGAGACACGGCCCAGACUCCUACGGGAGGCAGCAGUGGGGAAUAUUGGACAAUGGGCGAAAGCCUGAUCCAGCCAUGCCGCGUGGGUGAAGAAGGCCCUAGGGCUGUAAACCCCUUUCAGCGGGGAAGAUAAUGACGGUACCCGCAGAGAAGUCCCGGCUAACUCCGUGCCAGCAG